RNAcentral lists this ribosomal RNA (404 nucleotides) under uncultured bacterium. RNAcentral's name for it is "bacterial SSU rRNA". It matches the Rfam family "Bacterial small subunit ribosomal RNA", at positions 378 to 774 of the family's 1533-position model. The record is from RNAcentral.
CAAGCCUGAUCCAGCAAUGCCGCGUGCAGGAUGAAGGCCUUCGGGUUGUAAACUGCUUUUGUACGGAACGAAAAGCCUCUCUCUAAUACAGGGGGGUGAUGACGGUACCGUAAGAAUAAGCACCGGCUAACUACGUGCCAGCAGCCGCGGUAAUACGUAGGGAGCAAGCGUUGUCCGGAUUUACUGGGUGUAAAGGGUGCGUAGGCGGCUCUGCAAGUCAGGCGUGAAAUAUAUGGGCUUAACCCAUAGACUGCGUUUGAAACUGUGGAGCUUGAGUGAAGUAGAGGUAGGCGGAAUUCCCGGUGUAGCGGUGAAAUGCGUAGAGAUCGGGAGGAACACCAGUGGCGAAGGCGGCUUACUGGGCUUUAACUGACGCUGAGGCACGAAAGCAUGGGUAGCAAACA